Molecule: long non-coding RNA, 1257 nt
Filed under: Olea europaea subsp. europaea
Lineage: Eukaryota; Viridiplantae; Streptophyta; Magnoliopsida; Lamiales; Oleaceae
Source: RNAcentral
UCACACAUAAAUCCAAAUUUUUUCUUAUAUUUAACUAGAUAUUCUUCAAAAAAAAAAAAAAAAAAAACAAUAUUGCAAAAUCUUUUCAAUGGAGCUCAAACAUAUACCCCAACAGAUCAGACGCGGUUGCAAAAGUUCAGGUCUCCGCCGCAUGAAAAACACAUUAAAUGAAGCUAUAAAAGCUUUCGUGUACCAACCUCAAAUCUUAUUAUAAAUAAACAUAUCAAAUGUUGAGGGAUGAAAGAGAAGCCAUUCAUUUCCCCUAAGAAUUGGCAUCACAAAUCAUUAACGAAUAAACUGUUGUCGUACUAUUCUUUGUUCAUAGUUCGGCUGGCUUUUGUAACUGCUAGUCGGCUUCUAUUAGCUCCGCUGCAGAAAGUCUUGAUGACUUGAAGUUCCCACUAAUUCUCUUUGCAUUUCAAUGCCAUAAAACAUCAUAAACCAACAAUAUAAAAUUACAAUAACACUUUCUGGGCAAAUAUUUGUUCCAUUUUUCAUUAAAGUUCUUCGAAAGGAGAAUACAACCAACAGAGACCAAAUUUUUACAGUUGCUCCCUCAACGAUCCCCACAGAUUCCCAAACUCCCCUUUUUUCUUCUUAUUAAACAGACUUCUUAAAAAUAGAUGGUAUAUCUGUUUUAAUGCUAAACCUAUUGUGAAAACGCCUAUAUACUUAUAUUCUUUUUCCCCUAAUUUUUUCGGUCUUCCAUACAUAAGUUACCGUGAAGUGUUCUGCCACCAACAAUUCUCCAUCAUUACCCUCUCGACUGCACUUCGUGCCACUGUCGAUGAGGAGGAUAUCCACUCGGUAGUGUUGAGUUCCCACUUCGAAUGAACCAACACUUCCUUUUCUGACACCCUUUUACAAACAGGAGGUUUUCAACUAAACCCUCCCCAGUCCCGGCAAUUUUUAAGUCCGGAAACAACCUCUAAGCUAUUGAUACAACAGCAUUACUUACUGCUGAGAUGCACGAGUCUCUGUCUGCAAAUUUAGACGCUGCAAACACCUCAGUCGGCUGAUAAUCUGCUUAAAAGAAGGGCGUGCCUGUGGAUUACUGCAGUAGAACACUGGAAGUCAUUAACCUUCAUCAAGAGAUAAUAAUACUUGUAGGUUUUGUACAUACUCUGACAAAAGAAAUAGAAGCUAGCAUUUUGUAAAUUAUACUGUGCAAGUCCUAUCUAAGCCUCCGUUUUGAUAAUUUAUAAAUGAUUUAUAAAUAGUCAAACUUCAUUUUUAACUAGGGCUGGGCAAAUCUCC